This is a small nucleolar RNA of Jaculus jaculus (lesser Egyptian jerboa), 79 nucleotides long. RefSeq annotates it as small nucleolar RNA SNORD83. Lineage: Eukaryota; Metazoa; Chordata; Mammalia; Rodentia; Dipodidae. The transcript has a single exon. The record is from RefSeq and is a predicted model, not a curated record.
GCUACAUGAUACUUAUGUUUUUCAGAAGUGAGUGCUUUGUGCAGUUCUGACCUUUACCUAUCAUCCUUGACUAAUGGCU